This 325-nucleotide ribosomal RNA is filed under the name uncultured eukaryote. RNAcentral's name for it is "partial 18S ribosomal RNA". It matches the Rfam family "Eukaryotic small subunit ribosomal RNA", at positions 1470 to 1796 of the family's 1831-position model. The record is from RNAcentral.
CCCUUAGAUGUUCUGGGCUGCACGCGCGCUACACUGAUGCGCUCAACGAGUUUUGACCUUGCCCGGAAGGGUUGGGUAAUCUUCUUAAAACGCAUCGUGAUGGGGAUAGAUUAUUGCAAUUAUUAAUCUUCAACGAGGAAUUCCUAGUAAGCGCGAGUCAUCAGCUCGUGCUGAUUACGUCCAUGCCCUUUGUACACACCGCCCGUCGCUCCUACCGAUUGAGUGAUCCGGUGAGUAAUUCGGACUGCAGCAGUGUUCAGUUCCUGAACGUUGCAGCGGAAAGUUUAGCAAACCUUAUCACUUAGAGGAAGGAGAAGUCGUAACA